This 253-nucleotide ribosomal RNA is filed under the name uncultured bacterium. RNAcentral's name for it is "partial 16S ribosomal RNA". It matches the Rfam family "Bacterial small subunit ribosomal RNA", at positions 524 to 776 of the family's 1533-position model. The record is from RNAcentral.
AACGAAGGUGGCUAGCGUUGUUCGGAAUUACUGGGCAUAAAGAGCGCGUAGGUGGUCUUAUAUGUCGAUUGUGAAAUCCUGCAGCUCAACUGCAGAACUGCAAUCGAAACUGUGAGACUCGAGGACAGGAGGGGAGAGUGGAAUUCCUAGUGUAGCGGUGAAAUGCGUAGAUAUUAGGAGGAACGCCGGUGGCGAAAGCGACUCUCUGGACUGUUUCUGACACUGAGGCGCGAAAGCUAGGGGAGCAAACAGG